CAGUAGCCACGGUAAUACGUAGGGUGCAAGCGUUAAUCGGAAUUACUGGGCGUAAAGCGUGCGCAGGCGGUUAUAUAAGACAGAUGUGAAAUCCCCGGGCUCAACCUGGGAACUGCAUUUGUGACUGUAUAGCUAGAGUACGGCAGAGGGGGAUGGAAUUCCGCGUGUAGCAGUGAAAUGCGUAGAUAUGCGGAGGAACACCGAUGGCGAAGGCAAUCCCCUGGGCCUGUACUGACGCUCAUGCACGAAAGCGUGGGGAGCAAACAGGAUUAGAUACCCGUGUAGUCCCUGUCCUCUUAUA
This 301-nucleotide ribosomal RNA is filed under the name uncultured bacterium. Its description in RNAcentral is "partial 16S ribosomal RNA". It matches the Rfam family "Bacterial small subunit ribosomal RNA", at positions 509 to 809 of the family's 1533-position model. The record is from RNAcentral.